AACACUGACGUCGCGACGCAUAUCAAUAAGCGGAGGAAAAGAAACUAACAAGGAUUCCCUUAGUAACGGCGAGUGAAGCGGGAAGAGCUCAAAUUUGAAAUCUUCAAGGUUCUACCUUGACGAAUUGUAGUUUAAAGAAGUGUUUUCUGUUAGUGGAGUGGCAAAAGUUCUUUGGAAUAGGACAUCGUAGAGGGUGAGAAUCCCGUAUUUGGUCAUUCCUUCUAGCUUUGUGAUACACUUUCAAAGAGUCGGAUUGUUUGGGAAUGCAGUCCAAAAUGGGUGGUAAAUUUCAUCUAAAGCUAAAUAUUGGCGAGAGACCGAUAGCGAACAAGUACCGUGAGGGAAAGAUGAAAAGAACUUUGAAAAGAGAGUUAAACAGUACGUGAAAUUGUCAAAAGGGAAGCGUUUGACACCAGUGUUGUUUUUCCGAAAAUCAAUUACGAAUGGCUUGAUUUUGUGUUGUAUUGACCUUAUCAGCUUUCUGCACUUUUUUCGAGUCUUUCUUAAUGCACUUUUCGGUUAACAAGUCAACAUCAAUUUCUUUUGUUGUAAAAGAGUAUUCGGAAGGUGGCUUUCUUUUCGGAGAAAGUGUUUAUAGCCCUAUACUUCUACAAUCGGAGAGAUUGAGGUCUGCAGCGUAGAUCCUUCGGGGUUAGAUACAUUUGUGCUAAGUUAUAGCCUUUCAUAGACAACUUGUUGACUAUGAUCAGUCAUGUAGCUUACUCGCUUAUGCUAUUUUACCUACGCUUAGGAUGUUGAGUCGUAGAGCACGCAG
Molecule: ribosomal RNA, 775 nt
Filed under: uncultured Neocallimastigales
Lineage: Eukaryota; Fungi; Neocallimastigomycota; Neocallimastigomycetes; Neocallimastigales
Description: partial large subunit ribosomal RNA
Rfam family: Eukaryotic large subunit ribosomal RNA
Source: RNAcentral